Molecule: long non-coding RNA, 2234 nt
Organism: Fukomys damarensis (Damara mole-rat)
Lineage: Eukaryota; Metazoa; Chordata; Mammalia; Rodentia; Bathyergidae
Exons: 4
Source: RefSeq, a predicted model, not a curated record
CCCGCACGUACACGUGAAUCUUGCAUGGCCGCAGCCAUCUUGCCUAGCCGGAAGUGAUCAUCAAGAGUUGUACGGAGAGCAACGAAAGGAGCUUCCGCAUCGAGUUCCGGAGAUACAAGGUUCCGCUGAGCGAUUUUCAGUCAGUGGAUGGAGAAGAGACGUCUGAAUUCCCAAGGGUCGCGGCGUGAAGUCGGUUCCAAGGUAAAAAUCAUUUAAAGGACAGUCUCAGCCAUUUCGGGCUAGCUGUGGCUCGCUGUCCCAGACCGGCCGCUUUCCUCUCUCGUGGUUUGUUUCCUACGGGGCUCUACUGCAGUGCACAGCUGAGCAGCAGGAAAUGCUCUCAGGCAACGGCGCUUCCGGCGGCCUAGCCAAAAAGCAGGUGAACAGAUAAACAAACUGUGGGACAGCCAUUCAGUGGUGGACUAAGCAAUAAAGUGGCAAGAGCUAUUUAUUUAUCUGCAAAACAACAGGAUGAAUUGACAUAUACUUCUGUCAGACCCCUUCAAAGGGCUGCGCAGAAGAAAACUGGGCCUUGGUGCUCUUUGAAAGAAUGGAAUUUAGCGAAGAGAGGAACCUGAGUGCUGCCUUGCAUUGUCUUCCUGUGAGCUGUGGAAAGUUUGAGCUGGACACCGCCUCUUUCCCAAGAGCCUCCUUCAUCUGGAAACGGGGAUGAAGAGCCAGCUUCCUCGGAGCCUCUGGAGGGACGAGAGGUGGAUCCGUAGGAAGCACUCGGCACUUGCCUUGUGGAUGUGAGGGCUCAGUCCACGGUGGCGGUUGUCAUCGUCAGUGACUGAGGCUUCGGUGUCUGUGUUGGAGACAGAGGACCUGAAUGGAGACCUCCUCUUCCUGCCAGUCUGCUGGUCCAGGGAGGAAUUGCAGAUCUUGGUGAACGUGAGCACACUCCAGAGGUCUCCAGAAGGUGGGACCAAGGGCCUCCUGUCCUCAUCAUAAGUCUUGGCCUAAGUGGACACCCAGGGGGAGGCGAAGGGGGCAUUUUCUGCCUCCCUGGGCCAUCUGCGCUGUGCUGGCCAGAAAGGAAGCCUCCAGAUGCUUGCAGAUCAGACUUUUUCCAAGAGGGACAUCCUGGCAAAUGAGCACCCCAGACAGUAGGCUGCUGUUGGGGACAGCACUACAGGUGUCCCCUCGCAGCCUCACAGCUGAGUACUCUACAGUGAAGGGGUUGAGAUUCCCUCCCCACUGGGGUCACAGCAGCGACAUCUACCCUCGUGUGCACCGCCCCCAUGAGCCCUGCUCGGAGCGCUGGAUACAGGCAGCCCCGAGGUCCCGGCUGUUGGAAGUAAAUGCAGUGGCUCACUUCACGCCAGAAGCCACGGUGAUGCGGUCACACAGUAUGGCAGGCCUGGCUCCUUGAACCCAGCCUCGCAUCAUUUCUGUUUUUAAAGUGAAAAAACUGUUUUUAGGGUUCCUUAGAGUUCAGAGUUCAGUCUACAACAGCUUCCCUGUAGAACUCAUUCAGUCUGCAGUAUUAAAUGGGGACCUAGGAAAGUGUCCCCAUACUAUAGGUAGGUUGUAAAAAGGAAGGAGAACCCUGCACUUGGGGAUUUAUGUAAGUAGCAAGCUGUACAUGUAAGCAAAUGCGUGGUGUAGGUGUGCAAAUGGGAUAUGUAAAGAAAGUGUGUUGACCAGGUGUCUUUAACUUUAUCUUAAAUAAAUGGAUGGCAGUGAACUUCUCUUUAUAUAGAGAGCACUACUAGGUCCUUAGAAACUGCAGAUUACAUGUGCUAAAUAAAAGUUUUGCACGCCUACCACCAAAUUUUCCAGGCUUUCGACAUCGGAGUGCAUCAUUGGGAGUGCUGACGAUCCCUGAAGAAUCCCAUGUACAUCCUGGCCCCCAGAGCAGCUUCCUCGCUUGGUCUCAGUUUCCUGACCUCUAACAAAUGCUGAAGUCCUUCCUAACGUUCACCUUCUGUGUUACCUUGGUGAACGAGUGAGCGAAGGUGAAAUGCGAACCUCCCCCGAAGUUUGAACAGACUUUCAGUUACAAGUCCCGAUGUACCUCAGUAGUUAGUGUAUUUUUCGGUGAUAAAAUACCACUGAGAUUUUUUUCAAUUAUAAACAACUUUUUUAUUAAUUAUUAUUUUAGCUGCACAUGUUUAUGGGGUACAGAAGAGUAAUUCACCAUGAGAAUUUUGUAAGAUUGUCUCAGUAGAAAAACUAGUUUUUUUAAAAAGUGUAAAUAAGAUCCAAAUUGUAUAACUGAUAAUGUGAAAUAG